GGCGGAGGAUGCAAGUGUUAUCCGGAAUCACUGGGCGUAAAGCGUCUGUAAGUGGUCAAAUAAGUCAACUGUUAAAUCUUGAGGCUCAACCUCAAAAUCGCAGUCGAAACUAUUAGACUAGAGUAUAGUAGGGGUAAAGGGAAUUUCCAGUGGAGCGGUGAAAUGCGUAGAGAUUGGAAAGAACACCGAUGGCGAAGGCACUUUACUGGGCUAUUGCUAACACUGAGAGACGAAAGCUAGGGUAGCAAAUGUG
This 253-nucleotide ribosomal RNA is filed under the name uncultured bacterium. RNAcentral's name for it is "partial 16S ribosomal RNA". It matches the Rfam family "Bacterial small subunit ribosomal RNA", at positions 524 to 776 of the family's 1533-position model. The record is from RNAcentral.